GUGGUUAUUAUGUAUUGUUUAUGUGGUUGAUUAUAUAUUGAUUAUGUGAUUGAUUAUGUGUUGAUUAUGUUUGUUAUUAUAUAUUGAUUAUGUGUUUUUGGAGGUAAUAAAUAAAGAGUUGAGUAGGUAUGAAUUAAAUAGUUAGUAGGUAAUAAUUAUGGAAUUUAGUUGUGAGGAAUUAUGUUGUUUAGUUGGUAAUAAUUAAGUAGUUGAGUAGGUAGGAAUUAUAUAGUAUAGUUGGUAAUUGUUAAGUAGAUGAUAGGUAGGAAUUGUGUAGUUUAGUUGGUAAUUGUUAAGUAGAUGAUAG
This 307-nucleotide unclassified non-coding RNA is filed under the name Hevea brasiliensis (rubber tree). The record is from RNAcentral. Lineage: Eukaryota; Viridiplantae; Streptophyta; Magnoliopsida; Malpighiales; Euphorbiaceae.